ACUCCUACGGGAGGCAGCAGUGGGGAAUUUUGGACAAUGGGCGAAAGCCUGAUCCAGCAAUGCCGCGUGAGCGAAGAAGGCCUUCGGGUUGUAAAGCUCUUUUGUCAGGGAAGAAACGGUGAGAGCUAAUAUCUCUUGCUAAUGACGGUACCUGAAGAAUAAGCACCGGCUAACUACGUGCCAGCAGCCGCGGUAAUACGUAGGGUGCAAGCGUUAAUCGGAAUUACUGGGCGUAAAGCGUGCGCAGGCGGUUUUGUAAGUCUGAUGUGAAAUCCCCGGGCUCAACCUGGGAAUUGCAUUGGAGACUGCAAGGCUAGAAUCUGGCAGAGGGGGGUAGAAUUCCACGUGUAGCAGUGAAAUGCGUAGAUAUGUGGAGGAACACCGAUGGCGAAGGCAGCCCCCUGGGUCAAGAUUGACGCUCAUGCACGAAAGCGUGGGGAGCAAACAGGAUUAGAAACCCGUGUAGUCCCA
RNAcentral lists this ribosomal RNA (471 nucleotides) under uncultured organism. Its description in RNAcentral is "partial 16S ribosomal RNA". It matches the Rfam family "Bacterial small subunit ribosomal RNA", at positions 335 to 797 of the family's 1533-position model. The record is from RNAcentral.